Molecule: ribosomal RNA, 484 nt
Filed under: uncultured bacterium
Lineage: Bacteria
Description: partial 16S ribosomal RNA
Rfam family: Bacterial small subunit ribosomal RNA
Source: RNAcentral
AUUGAACGCUGGCGGCAUGCUUUACACAUGCAAGUCGAACGGCAGCGCGGGCUUCGGCCUGGCGGCGAGUGGCGAACGGGUGAGUAAUGCAUCGGAACGUGCCCAGUAGUGGGGGAUAGCCCGGCGAAAGCCGGAUUAAUACCGCAUACGACCUGAGGGUGAAAGCGGGGGACCGAAAGGCCUCGCGCUAUUGGAGCGGCCGAUGUCGGAUUAGCUAGUUGGUGGGGUAAAGGCUUACCAAGGCGACGAUCCGUAGCUGGUCUGAGAGGACGACCAGCCACACUGGGACUGAGAGACGGCCCAGACUCCUACGGGAGGCAGCAGUGGGGAAUUUUGGACAAUGGGGGCAACCCUGAUCCAGCCAUGCCGCGUGCGGGAAGAAGGCCUUCGGGUUGUAAACCGCUUUUGUUCGGGAAGAAAACCUCUGGGCUAAUACCCCGGGGGGAUGACGGUACCGGAAGAAUAAGCACCGGCUAACUACGUG